CAUGUGUGUGACAGAAUGGUACACAAUGCUGCAUAGACAAAAUUUUAGUAUCGUUCGAUAGCGAAUUUUCACGGUUUUUUCAAUUAUAAAUUGAAAAAAAGUGAUAUUUCUAAGCCGAUUUUCGAACAUCCGACCAUGGCAAACGAAAGAGCAUACUUUUUUUCUAUAUAAUGGCAUAUUCUUUAGAGAACUUUUCUAAUUAGUUAAAAUUUUAUGAAAAAUAUAGACAAAAUUUUAGUAUCGUUCGAUAG
Cinara cedri is the source of this 251-nucleotide non-coding RNA. The record is from the annotation of a GenBank genome assembly. Lineage: Eukaryota; Metazoa; Arthropoda; Insecta; Hemiptera; Aphididae.